GUAGUAUAGCUUAAUCCAAAGCGCCCCGCUUACACCGGGGGGAGACCCGUGAGACCCGGGUUACUUCGAG
This 70-nucleotide transfer RNA is filed under the name Fritziana ulei. Its description in RNAcentral is "tRNA-Val". The record is from RNAcentral. Lineage: Eukaryota; Metazoa; Chordata; Amphibia; Anura; Hemiphractidae.